AUUGAACGCUGGCGGCAGGCCUAACACAUGCAAGUCGAGCGAGCGGCGGACGGGGGAGUAAUGUUUGGGGAUCUGCUCGAUAGAGGGGGAUAACUACUGGAUACGGUAGCUAAUACCGCAUUCUAUCGGAUUUACGCUGGUGUGCUUAGCUAGUAGGUGGGGUAAUGGCUCACCUAGGCGACGCUCCCUAGCGGGCGUGCGAGGAUGACCAGCCACACUGGAACUGAGACACGGUCCAGACUCCUACGGGAGGCAGAAGUGGGGAAUAUUGCACAAUGGGCGAAAGCCUGAUGCAGCCAUGCCGCGUGUGUGAAGAAGGCCUUCGGGUUGUAAAGCACUUUCAGCGAGGAGGCGGUACUCGCAGAAGAAGCACCGGCUAACUCCGUGCCAGCAGCCGCGGUAAUUC
RNAcentral lists this ribosomal RNA (406 nucleotides) under uncultured bacterium. Its description in RNAcentral is "partial 16S ribosomal RNA". It matches the Rfam family "Bacterial small subunit ribosomal RNA", at positions 30 to 526 of the family's 1533-position model. The record is from RNAcentral.